GUGUUCACUUCGGCAGCACAUACACUAAAAUUGGAACGAUACAGAGAAGAUUAGCAUGGCCCCUGCACAAGGAUGACACACAAAUUCGUGAAGUGUUCCAUAUUUUU
Molecule: small nuclear RNA, 107 nt
Filed under: Neotoma lepida (desert woodrat)
Lineage: Eukaryota; Metazoa; Chordata; Mammalia; Rodentia; Cricetidae
Source: RNAcentral